RNAcentral lists this ribosomal RNA (162 nucleotides) under Pseudopolydora sp. GF-15317_22380. RNAcentral describes it as "partial large subunit ribosomal RNA". It matches the Rfam family "Archaeal large subunit ribosomal RNA", at positions 2025 to 2188 of the family's 2987-position model. The record is from RNAcentral. Lineage: Eukaryota; Metazoa; Annelida; Polychaeta; Spionida; Spionidae.
GUGCUAAGGUAGCAUAAUCAUUUGCCAUUUAAUUGGUGGCUGGAAUGAAUGAAUAUACGAGAGCAUAACUGUCUCUUAUUUAUAAAUAAAAAUUGACCUUCAAGUGAAGAGACUUGAAUCUUUAAAAAAGACGAAAAGACCCUAUAGAGCUUUACUUAUAAC